Molecule: ribosomal RNA, 1398 nt
Filed under: uncultured bacterium
Lineage: Bacteria
Description: 16S ribosomal RNA
Rfam family: Bacterial small subunit ribosomal RNA
Source: RNAcentral
AGAGUUUGAUCCUGGCUCAGGAUGAACGCUAGCGGCAGGCUUAACACAUGCAAGUCGAGGGGCAUCGGGAGGGAAGCUUGCUUUCCUUGCCGGCGACCGGCGCACGGGUGAGUAACACGUAUGCAACCUGCCCUCUUCAGGGGGACAACCUUCCGAAAGGGAGGCUAAUCCCGCGUAUAUCGGUUUCGGGCAUCCGAGAUCGAGGAAAGAUUCAUCGGAAGAGGAUGGGCAUGCGGCGCAUUAGCUAGACGGCGGGGUAACGGCCCACCGUGGCGACGAUGCGUAGGGGUUCUGAGAGGAAGGUCCCCCACACUGGUACUGAGACACGGACCAGACUCCUACGGGAGGCAGCAGUGAGGAAUAUUGGUCAAUGGGAGAGAUCCUGAACCAGCCAAGCCGCGUGAGGGAAGACGGCCCUAUGGGUUGUAAACCUCUUUUGUUGGAGAACAAAACCCGGGACGUGUCCCGGACUGCGUGUAUCCGAAGAAAAAGCAUCGGCUAACUCCGUGCCAGCAGCCGCGGUAAUACGGAGGAUGCGAGCGUUAUCCGGAUUUAUUGGGUUUAAAGGGUGCGUAGGCGGUCCGUUAAGUCAGCGGUAAAAUUGCGGGGCUCAACCCCGUCGAGCCGUUGAAACUGGCAGACUUGAGUUGGCGAGAAGUACGCGGAAUGCGCGGUGUAGCGGUGAAAUGCAUAGAUAUCGCGCAGAACUCCGAUUGCGAAGGCAGCGUACCGGCGCCAGACUGACGCUGAGGCACGAAAGCGUGGGGAUCGAACAGGAUUAGAUACCCUGGUAGUCCACGCAGUAAACGAUGAAUGCUGGUUGUCCGGGUCGAAUGAGAUCUGGGCGGCGAAGCGAAAGCGAUAAGCAUUCCACCUGGGGAGUACGCCGGCAACGGUGAAACUCAAAGGAAUUGACGGGGGCCCGCACAAGCGGAGGAACAUGUGGUUUAAUUCGAUGAUACGCGAGGAACCUUACCCGGGCUCAAACGGGAGUGGAAUGGAUCAGAGACGGUUCAGCCUACGGGCCGCUUCCGAGGUGCUGCAUGGUUGUCGUCAGCUCGUGCCGUGAGGUGUCGGCUUAAGUGCCAUAACGAGCGCAACCCCCGCCGGCAGUUGCUAACGGGCAAUGCCGAGGACUCUGCCGGGACUGCCGCCGCAAGGCGAGAGGAAGGCGGGGAUGACGUCAAAUCAGCACGGCCCUUACGUCCGGGGCGACACACGUGUUACAAUGGGCGGUACAGCGGGAAGCCAGGCGGCGACGCCGAGCGGAACCCGAAAGCCGUUCUCAGUUCGGAUCGGAGUCUGCAACCCGACUCCGUGAAGCUGGAUUCGCUAGUAAUCGCGCAUCAGCCAUGGCGCGGUGAAUACGUUCCCGGGCCUUGUACUCACCGCCCGUCA